Molecule: microRNA, 21 nt
Filed under: Melibe leonina
Lineage: Eukaryota; Metazoa; Mollusca; Gastropoda; Nudibranchia; Dendronotidae
Description: mle-miR-12102-3p
Source: miRBase by way of RNAcentral
UUCAGUUCGCUCUCUUCGUCA